Molecule: ribosomal RNA, 383 nt
Filed under: Entamoeba sp.
Lineage: Eukaryota; Evosea; Mastigamoebida; Endamoebidae
Description: SSU rRNA
Rfam family: Eukaryotic small subunit ribosomal RNA
Source: RNAcentral
AGCAGCCGCGGUAAUUCCAGCUCCAAUAGUGUAUAUUAAAGUUGCUGUGAUUAAAACGCUCGUAGUUGAAUUAUAAAGCGUAUAGUGCUUGGAGCUCUGCUUUGCAGGGUGAAGGGCACAAUUAAACGACGCCUUAGGUGAUGCUCUUCGGAGUGUCAUUACUUUGAAAAAAAUAGGGUGUUUAAAGCAAAUCUUAUGUUAAUGAAUAAUGAAGCAUGGGACAAUAUUGAGGAGAUCCUUCGGGAUUUCGAGAAAAGGAUUAAGAGGAACAAUUGGGGUGAUUCAGAAAAUAACGGGAGAGGUAAAAUUCCAUGAUCGCUAUAAGAUGCACGAGAGCGAAAGCAUUUCACUCAAUUGCGUUCAUUAAUCAAGAACGAAAGUUA